Cyprinus carpio carpio is the source of this 411-nucleotide long non-coding RNA. Lineage: Eukaryota; Metazoa; Chordata; Actinopteri; Cypriniformes; Cyprinidae. The record is from Ensembl.
GAAGAUAAAACACCAGUGGAGAGAACAGAUACCACACAUGAAGAAAGACAUUCAGAAUAUAAUGAUGUAAGUUCAGAACACCUUGCAACAAAAGGUACGAAUGAAUUUGUUGCAUCAACUCCUUCAAGAGCACAUGAACAUACUGCCAUGACUAAACAUGAGAUAGAAAUGACAACAGAACUUCUUGAAACAGAAUGUACAAUAGAAAUUGAGAUACUGAUACCAGAAGAUAAAACAACACCAAGCCAAGAAACAGAAGGAUCACAGUCUACAGAUGAAGAUGGUUGCUUUGGAUUAAUUCAUCGCACCGGCUCUGGGUUGAAAAGAUGCCAGGAGAAGAAGAUGAAAAUGAAUGAUUUAAGGUCAGAACAUCUUGCAACUGAAGGUAUAAAUACAUUAAUUACAGCAACU